AUACUCGCUGUGGCAGCACAUAUACUAAAAUUGGAACAACACAGAGAAGAUUAGCAUGGUGCCUGCACAUGGAUGACAUACAAAUUUAUGAAGUGUUCCAUAUUUUU
RNAcentral lists this small nuclear RNA (107 nucleotides) under Dasypus novemcinctus (nine-banded armadillo). The record is from RNAcentral. Lineage: Eukaryota; Metazoa; Chordata; Mammalia; Cingulata; Dasypodidae.